This 459-nucleotide ribosomal RNA is filed under the name uncultured bacterium. Its description in RNAcentral is "partial 16S ribosomal RNA". It matches the Rfam family "Bacterial small subunit ribosomal RNA", at positions 338 to 795 of the family's 1533-position model. The record is from RNAcentral.
CCUACGGGAGGCAGCAGUGAGGAAUAUUGGUCAAUGGUCGGGAGACUGAACCAGCCAAGCCGCGUGAGGGAGGAAGGUACAGAGUAUCGUAAACCUCUUUUGUCAGGGAACAAAGGCGGGGACGUGUCCCCGGAUGAGUGUACCUGAAGAAAAAGCAUCGGCUAACUCCGUGCCAGCAGCCGCGGUAAUACGGAGGAUGCGAGCGUUAUCCGGAUUUAUUGGGUUUAAAGGGUGCGCAGGCGGUCUGUUAAGUCAGCGGUGAAAGCCCGGGGCGCAACCCCGGCCCGCCGUUGAAACUGGCAGUCUCGAGUUGGAGAGAAGUAUGCGGAAUGCGCGGUGUAGCGGUGAAAUGCAUAGAUAUCGCGCAGAACUCCGAUUGCGAAGGCAGCAUGCCGGCUCCACACUGACGCUGAGGCACGAAAGCGUGGGUAUCGAACAGGAUUAGAUACCCCAGUAGUC